AGAGUUGAUCAUGGCUCAGAACGAACGCUGGCGGCAGGCUUAACACAUGCAAGUCGAGCGCCCCGCAAGGGGAGCGGCAGACGGGUGAGUAACGCGUGGGAACGUACCCUUUACUACGGAACAACUCCGGGAAACUGGAGCUAAUACCGUAUGUGCCCUUCGGGGGAAAGAUUUAUCGGUAAAGGAUCGGCCCGCGUUGGAUUAGCUAGUUGGUGGGGUAAAGGCCUACCUAGGCGACGAUCCAUAGCUGGUCUGAGAGGAUGAUCAGCCACAUUGGGACUGAGACACGGCCCAAACUCCUACGGGAGGCAGCAGUGGGGAAUAUUGGACAAUGGGCGCAAGCCUGAUCCAGCCAUGCCGCGUGAGUGAUGAAGGCCUUAGGGUUGUAAAGCUCUUUCACCGGGGAAGAUAAUGACGGUACCCGGAGAAGAAGCCCCGGCUAACUUCGUGCCAGCAGCCGC
This 461-nucleotide ribosomal RNA is filed under the name uncultured bacterium. RNAcentral's name for it is "bacterial SSU rRNA". It matches the Rfam family "Bacterial small subunit ribosomal RNA", at positions 8 to 518 of the family's 1533-position model. The record is from RNAcentral.